GACCACAGUUGGGUCGCCCGGAUACUGACAAAUAACAAUGCCUUUGCCUGGGAUGGGAGUUCCAGAUGCAGGCUUCUUGUUCUCAGCAAUGACUCCAAAUAUAAAGGACGUCACACCUAAAGCUGCGACAAUAAGAGACAUCAUCUUGACAGACACAGCCAUUGUUCCGCAGAUAAAUGUCACCACCUGAAGAAUUGAUCGAAGA
RNAcentral lists this unclassified non-coding RNA (205 nucleotides) under Hevea brasiliensis (rubber tree). Lineage: Eukaryota; Viridiplantae; Streptophyta; Magnoliopsida; Malpighiales; Euphorbiaceae. The record is from RNAcentral.